Camelus dromedarius (Arabian camel) is the source of this 1281-nucleotide long non-coding RNA. RefSeq lists it as uncharacterized. The record is from RefSeq and is a predicted model, not a curated record. Lineage: Eukaryota; Metazoa; Chordata; Mammalia; Artiodactyla; Camelidae. The transcript has 4 exons.
GACACACAGCUGGGGCUGGAGGCAGCGGCCAGGCUUCCAGCAGUAAUUUGGCGCGCUUGCCCUCACUCCUCCUGCUUUAACAACUUUACGGCUGCCUACAGCUGAGCACCCUGCUCUCAACACCGCCAGUCCUCAGUUUUCCCCACGCUAGCUUCUCCUCAAUGCUGCCCCGCCGGGCGCUGACUCCUAGCCGGCUUCCCAGCCUUCAGUCCUCGCUCCCGCGGUGUGCCUGGCUUCCUCCCUUGUGUCAACAAGUCCCAGCAUGUGGAACAGGAGGAGGAGCCAACGUUCAAUAAAUACACUUGACCAAGAAGAGCCACUGAAGAUUUUUAAAGAGAUACAUAACAAGACUGAGCACACCAGCUGGAACAGAGGGCUUCCCAAAGGCAACUGCGGCAUUGGAAAAACCUGAAGGCAAAAGCACAAAACAUCAAGUGCUGGAGAGGAUAUGUCAGCAUGAGCCCCUGGCAACUACUUUUCUACUCUCUGUUUCUGUGAGUUUUGACUUUUGUCCACCCAUUCCUUAAAUGUGGACUUCACAUAGUAACUUCAUUGCAAAGCGUACAAGAAGGAAAGGAAGAAAGAAGAGUAACUUUACAGUGGACAAAGCUGACAGACACCGCCCUAGCCAGGUGUGAAGGUCAACAUCAACAGUGAUACGUCAUUUGAUAGCAUGUAUCCUUGAUACGGUGUGAUGAAAAUGGUACUUUACUUCUGUGGUCUUCCUCCCAAAUAUCCAUAACCUCAGCCCAAACAUGAAAAAACCCCAGAACAGUUCUACUAGUGGGGCAUUCUAUAAAAUAUCUAAUCAGUAUUCCUUAAAACUGUCAAAGUCAUUAAAAUCAAGGAAAGUCUGAGAAACUGGGACAGCCAAGAAGAGCCCAAGAGACAUGAUGACUAAAUGUAAUGUGUCAUUCUGGAUGAGAUCCCGAAACAGAAAAAUGAUGUUAGGUAAAAACUAAAGAAAGCAGAAAAUACAGACUUUGGGUAAUGAUAAUAUAUCCAUAUUGGUCCAUUAAUUAUAAUAAAUAUACGGUUCUAAUGUAAGAUAUUAAUAAUAGGGAAAACUGGGUGUGGGGUUUAUAGAAACUCUUUGUACUAUCAUCUCAAUUUUUCUGUGAGCCCCAAACUGUUUCUAAAAAAUAAACUAUUUGAAAAAAAUCAGUAGACAUUGAAAAGGCAUUUGAUAAAUUUAAGUAUCAAUCCCCUUUUAUUUAAAAAAAAUUUUUUUAUUAAAAAAAUUAAAAAUAACAAGAUACUUCCUAAACAUGAUAUACUGGA